CCACAGGGUUUCUGCUGCUGCUGCCUCAUGUUGCUCCCCUGACACAUGGUUUAUUCAUACACAAAGUAAAGGAAGCACCUCUCCCCCUUGUACCCCCCCCCCCCACCCACCACCACUCAAACCCUGCCUCACCCCAUCCCUAAAACCCCUUCUUCGACAUGGGGGUGAUGCAAGGCAACACGGUAGUGAAACAAUACCGCAGAAUGAACCAGUGACUUGGCCCACCUCUAUUGAUAGAAUACUGCAAUAAUAUCUAUUGUCUUGUCUGUUUGAUAUGGGAUAGGAUGAAGGUGAAUAUCACUACAGAUGAAGGACUUGUAUGCACGUCUGUGUAUUGACAUCCCAUAAUCCAAUGUAGGUAGGCCAUAGUCUGUUUAAGUGUUGAUGUAUCCAUAAUUCAUAUUUUCAUAAUUGAAAAUGAAUAAAUAAGCGAUGUGGUUCUAAGUUGGAGGUUGGUGAGGACGAAGAUGCUGAAAGAUAGAAAGAAUGAAUUCCUCAUUAAAAACAAACGAAUGAAACCGAGGAAAAGGGGACAAAGAUGAUGGAUGAAAGGCACAUACAGAGAAGAACGGAUCGACAGAAUGUGGUCCAGGUGUCAAACUCCAACCUCGAGAGGAAAUUGUGUUUAUUAAAUAGCAGCAUUUCCAAAUGUACAACCAUGCAUUUGCGGGUAGUCUGCACCUCAUGUUUCUUAUAUGCACACACACACAAACACGAGGGUGCUCAGGCACACACACACGCUCAUGCACACACACACACACACGCACAUGCACGCGCACACGCACUAACACAUGCACGCACGCACUCUUCUGCUGCUUCCUCAUAGAGUCAUGUAUUUUUCAUAGGUUUUGUUAUAGAAGUCCUCCAACGUGUGUGCAUGUGAGUGAUUUAUCUUAUGUAUGUAUCUUAUCACACAUCGCUGGACUACCCAGUUCAGAUUUUGCAAUUAGGUAUUUGUUUUUUUCUUGCACUCUUUUUCUUUUUUUUAGCCUUCCCUCUAUACCUUCAACUUUAAUUUCCAUUUUCCUUUCCUUCUUUUCGAAAAUUUCACAAAAACCCUUUUGGUUAACUCUUAUCAUAAAAUAAACCCAGAGUCUCCUAAUUUCAAUUUGGCUAAAACCGCCCCCUACGUCACCAGGUUUUGUUUUUUCGUUCUGCUUUGACUACAACUCCCACAAUGCAUCGGGGGUGGUGCCUCGCCGUGCUGCUGUCUCUCCGGCUGCAGCGUACCACUACGAUCAAGCAACCAGCAGCAGCGAGCAACGCUUUCUCUCUCCCCCCGACCUAAACAAUGACUACUACCAGCACCACUGAGCGGAGGUCGGGGAUCCAGUAGCAUGCGUAAAACACGGCACCAAAUCUCUCCAUUUCGCCGCUUUUCCAAACCGUUGACUUUAACGCGCCAGCUGUAAACAUGUGGAUACCCACUGAACACGAGAAAUACGGCGUCGCGUUGUGUUUUUACGCACGGGGGCUGUCUGCGGCCGUAGAUCAAACGUUGAAGUGAGAAAAACAAGCGACAGCCGAUUCAACAGCGCCCACCGAGGAGGUGUCUACCUAUCUGCCCCCAUGUGUGCAUAAAAUAAAUAACCCUAACUGAGGUGCGACCGAUGAGAGACGGUGUUAAUGUCUUCUAAUGAUAUUCCCGUGAGAGAUGGGACAGUGUGCGUGUGUGCAAUGCGCUGUCCAGCCCCCCCAUACACACUCCGAUAGCCAGUUCUCUCUCUCUCUCUCUCUUAUUUAUAUAUAUAUAUAUAUAUAUAUAUAUAUAAGGAAACAUAUCACAAAAAAACAUGUUUUGCUGUUUGGUUGCAGGUUCAAUUACACUGUUUGUGAUUAUUGGUUCCUUUAAUGUAUUUGGGUCCCUGUUCCUCUGCCAUCUUGACGCACACUCUGGCAUUAAGGUCUCUCUUUCUCUCUCUCGCUCUGUCUGUCUGUCUGUCUGUCUGUGUUUCUCUGUUACUCUCUCUCUGUCACCACUCUCCCCCUGGGCCCGGGGUCAGUCGUCUUGUCCAUGCAGGGCCCUGUUUCCCUGGCGUAAGCUGGUUUCUCUUCCCCAUGUUGACUCGUCUGUCUUCCGAGGCUUUCUCAUGCCACGGUGUUGUCACAUGAUAGCCCUGCUGCUGCCAGGUUAUGUGGGGUGGAUUCAAAUCACUUCACCUGCCCAUUGUCCCUCAUGAAGGACCGAUAGUCGAGGGAAAUCGAAUCCAUGCAAAACCACGAAUGUUGGAUCUAAAAUGAAAAAUCCCCUCCUGGAUUGUGAUCCAUGGGGAAGUUAGUUUAUACACGGGACAUAUUUAAUUGAAACGGUUAAAUACCUCCUAUUGUCCGAACACUGCUCAAAGGGCACUAUUUAAUUGGAUUAAAGGUCCCCUAAUCUUUAUUUUUUCUUCUUCUUCUUGCAAUAAGGCUGUUUAAUUGGCUGUGAUUUAAACAGGCUUUGGCACGGUUCCCUUGUCCUACUGGGUAAGGAAGCUGCUUGUUUCCUUGUUGUGAAAUAUCCCACCGAACACACACACACACACACACACACACACACACACACACACACACACACACACACACACACACACACACACACA
Molecule: long non-coding RNA, 2582 nt
Organism: Gadus macrocephalus (Pacific cod)
Lineage: Eukaryota; Metazoa; Chordata; Actinopteri; Gadiformes; Gadidae
Exons: 2
Source: RefSeq, a predicted model, not a curated record